This 465-nucleotide ribosomal RNA is filed under the name Vreelandella stevensii. RNAcentral describes it as "partial 16S ribosomal RNA". It matches the Rfam family "Bacterial small subunit ribosomal RNA", at positions 338 to 795 of the family's 1533-position model. Lineage: Bacteria; Pseudomonadati; Pseudomonadota; Gammaproteobacteria; Oceanospirillales; Halomonadaceae. The record is from RNAcentral.
CCUACGGGAGGCUGCAGUGGGGAAUAUUGGACAAUGGGCGAAAGCCUGAUCCAGCCAUGCCGCGUGUGUGAAGAAGGCCUUCGGGUUGUAAAGCACUUUCAGUGGGGAAGAAAGCCUUGGGGCUAAUACCCUCGAGGAAGGACAUCACCCACAGAAGAAGCACCGGCUAACUCCGUGCCAGCAGCCGCGGUAAUACGGAGGGUGCGAGCGUUAAUCGGAAUUACUGUGCGUAAAGCGCGCGUAGGCGGUCUGAUAAGCCGGUUGUGAAAGCCCCGGGCUCAACCUGGGAACGGCAUCCGGAACUGUCAGGCUAGAGUGCAGGAGAGGAAGGUAGAAUUCCCGGUGUAGCGGUGAAAUGCGUAGAGAUCGGGAGGAAUACCAGUGGCGAAGGCGGCCUUCUGGACUGACACUGACGCUGAGGUGCGAAAGCGUGGGUAGCAAACAGGAUUAGAUACCCCGGUAGUC